ACAAACACUAAAAACGGACCCGGAUGCAGUCGAUGCUGUGUUUGCCUGGAGUUUCCAUUGGGAAUGUAUUUUGCAUGAUGUACCGCGCCGCUGAGCUAAUGCUCAAAUUGGAAUACAAGCACCGGGUGUCGUCAAAGCCUUGUUACCGCUGUGCGGUCUUGUGACCAGCACCAAAUCUGUAAGUUUAUGAAAUGAUUGCACCGGAACACCUGAACAGAUGGAAAAAAAACUCGAGGUUUUUGUCUGACUUCGACUGAGGCCCCGUGGAGCCACCGACACGUGACCUGCCAG
RNAcentral lists this long non-coding RNA (291 nucleotides) under Fukomys damarensis (Damara mole-rat). Its description in RNAcentral is "lncRNA (ENSFDAG00000024867.1)". The record is from RNAcentral. Lineage: Eukaryota; Metazoa; Chordata; Mammalia; Rodentia; Bathyergidae.